UUUUUAAUAUAGAAACCAAAACUCAUAAAAUAUUUUAAAUAAUCAAUAUAUUUAGGAUUUUUUAGUACCUAACUAAACCAAUGUAGCUAUAAUUUUAAGAAAAAAUUAAGCUCACAGACACAUUUCAAGAUUUCAAUUACACCUCGAGGCAUUUACCAUAUAAGAGCAUAUGUAACAUAUUGCUAUUUUCACUUCUAUAAUAGCCUUUAAAGGUAAAAUUGCUCCAGUCCACCUCUAUUUCUUCCUGUAUAAUAGAGAUCUAUAUUUUUUCUCUAUUUAUAGAGGAAGAAAUAGCAUUCCUCUAUCUUUUACUCUACAUUUAGAGAUUGUUAUUUUAGAGAUUGUUAUUUUAGAGGAAUUCAUUGAACCAUAUCCCACCUCUAUUAUAGAAUUUUUCUGUUUUAGAGGUGAAAAUAACAAAACACAUUGGAGAUGGUCUAAGAAACACUUUUUAGUUGCGUAAAGUCUCUACUACCCUUUUAACUCUAAAAGCUUGGUUAUGGUUUCAGUUUUCUGAAUAUCUCUCUCCUAAAAUGUCGGUGAGCACACUACACGAGCUAAGACCCAAACAACCGAACAAUGAUCCACCACAUUUGUAACGGCCCGGUUCCUAGCCCAAAAUUUUCUCUAAGAAAAUGGGCUUCUCUACGGCCCAUUUGGCAAAGACCUAGGGUUUCCCUUCCCCCUUUUCCUAUAAAAAGAGAUGCAGCCCUCCUUUUGCCUCAUUCAGAAACUGAAGCGAAGCUCUGCAGAGAAUUCCCGGAGACCGAAAACCCUAGCCGUCGAGCUCUCUCUCUCUUCUCUCUCUCUCCUCCGCGCCGUCGCUCUCUCCUCAUCGUCGCACUCUCUCUCUCCUCGCCGGCGCCGUGUGGUGGUGGUGGUGACCGGGUCUCAACCUUCUCUUAUCCUUGUUCCAGAUCCAGAUCUAGGCUAAGGUGGAGUGUCUUGAACCCAUCUUGUUCCAUGUACUGUAUACUCCUUUAUGUUGGAGUUAGGUUUGAUUAGACCCUGUUUGAGAGUUAGGAUGAUAGAACAUGGUUAUUACUAGGUUGAUAGAUGAAUGUAUCAUGAUGCAUAAGAACCCUCAUACUGUUAAAUGGGACUUAAUGAACUGUCUUGUGUUGUUGUGGUGAUGAUUGAUUGGUAAUUGAUACUUGUAUGUUUGGAUGUGUAGUCCUAUGAGUGGUUUGUGAUUAAAGCUAGGAUGCUAGAAAGAAGUAAAUGUUAAGAUGAUAGAUGACUACUGAUUGUUAUUGAUACUGUAAGUGAAACCUGAGUGUGAUGUGUAUUGUGUGUGACACCGAUAACGGGUGGCGUCUAGUGAAUGAGUUCAAUUACGAGUCUAAGUGUAAAAGAAAGUGAAUGAGAAUGAGAAUGUAUAAGUGAAAGUGAAUAAGGAUGUGAAAGGAUAAGUGAAUGUAUAAGUGAAUAACGUUAAGGUUAAGCAUGGGUUGGGAAAUCAUAUAGAGUCUAGAGGGAGUACGUGGGGUAGUAGUUCUACGCUAGGCAUCCAUAGGAGCUGUGGUGGAAUCCCCAAGAAUAUGGGGUAGAAGUCUAGCGAGAGCUACCCCCAGAGAAAAGAGAAAAGAUGAGCCAGCCGCGAGAGGCGGGAUAUAAAAACGUGCAUUGUAGAGUCCUUAGUUCAUGGUCGGGUAUCUGGGUGUUAAAGGUGUCAUAAGAUUGAGUCGGUCUGGUAUGUCGAGUCGGUUAAGUCUAUGGUUUGACGUGUGUGACAAUGAGUGAGAUCAUUGUACUGAUUGAUCGCUAGGUUGUUAGAAAUAUAGAGAAUUGAAUGUGUGGAAACAAAUGAUGAUGAUAUGAAAUGUUAAGAUGCAUCAACUGAUUGUAGUGGCUAGUCAGCCCUAGUUCCCGCAUAGAGUAGUAUAGAGUGUCAUGCGGGCAGGCUGGUCUAGAGUCACUUCACUGAGUAACUUGUUGCUCAUCCCUCCCUUUCCAUUUCCCUGUGCGCAGGACUGUAAGUAGAAGUAUAUGGAUGUGGGUGUGACGGUAUUUCAAAGAAGGUUAUGCGUCCGUUGACUCUUGGGACCAGUAACGGGACACACAUGGUUGUCUAAAUGAGUAGACACAUGUCCAUAACGCCCUUUCGAUAACCCCAGUCGGACGCCGAGGGAUCGGGCCAUCAAUUGGUGACAGCUUGUCCAGUGGGAAUGUUGUUAAAGGUGAGGUCCUGGGUUCGAGGCUCACCAACAACCUAAUUAUGGAGUUAGAGAGAACUCAUAAUGCAGGGGUUGGGGUCGGUGCGCUGCAGCGCUGUGAGCCUGGGGCCCACGGGGCAGGUAGUUCCCACGGGGUGGGUUGUCACAAAAAAAAGUCGACUUUUCUUAUAACGCCCCGACCGCCCACGGCUAAUGGGCCACCCUCGCUCGCUCUCUCGGCCCGUGGGCCCCAUCCCAUCCGACGGUCGGUCCGUUAAUUUCUGAAGGCUCGAAAUCAUUGUUUAUUGACCCUGCAAUCACCACUCGACCUUUUCGCAUGCUUUGGUCUCACUCGCACGCUAUCACGAAUCACUUCCCUAUAGGUCACUCAUCCUUCCACUGUUCCAGCUCAACGACGAACUCUGGAGUUGAUGUUACAACAUUGUUCAUCCAAUUUUUCCUUUCUCAAUCGAAGCGUUUAUGUAACUUUGGAAUAUGUCUUCCCUCUUUCUCCUUCCUCUUCCUCCAAUGAAACUACAAAGAAUAUUUUCAAUCCAAUUUACCAGAAAAGAGGCGAAAGAUGCUCGAUGUGAGAAUCUCCAAAAAAAUCUUUCCUUCUUGCUUCAUCCUUUCGAUUGAGAGAUUCUGAAGCAAUUCAGAGGAUCUAGCGUUUUGAUUUAGGCUACAUUGCAUCAAAAGUCGUUUUCGAAUCGAUUUAGUGUUACGUAAUGAUAUUGCGUUUACUCGUCCUCUUGAAUCGUUUGUUAAAGAUAGACAAUCUCAUUUUUGAAUUGUUUAAAAAGCCGUUUUCGAAUCGAUUUAGCUUUUACUCGUUUGUUAGCGAUGGUUACUCAUAGGAGAUGGAGACGAUAUCUCGUUUGUAUUGAUUAGAAGGCAGUUGAUAUGAACAAAGAAGUACCUUCUUCUGAUGAGGAUCAGUUUUCUUUGGAUGCAAAGGAUUCAAAUGUUGAAGAUGAAGUUUCAGGGAAUAAAGCAAUGACUUUUUCAUUUGAAGAGCUCUCUGUUUCUACGUGAAACUUCAGGUUGUUGCAAUCAAGGAACUUGAUCGGAAUGAUGCUCAAGGAAUUAGAGAGUUUGUGGUGGAAGUCACGACACGAAGUCUCACCAACCAUCCCAAUCUUGUCAAGCUUAUUGGAUUUUGCGCACAAGUGUUCAGAGGCUAUUAGUUUACGAGUACAUGCCACUAGGUUCUCUUGAAAAUCACCUCCAUGGUAUAAUUGCUUUCUAUGCAUAUUUACAGAAUAAUUUCGCUUCCUUGUAAUGCUUAGAGUAUGGAAUAGGUAUAAGGCAUGUCCACUAAAUGUAGUCCACAUGGACAAUUCAUUCAGGACAUGUCCACAAAAUUACGUACACAUGGAAUACUAGACGAUGCAAUAUUUUCUCUUCAUGUUACUUUUUUAACU
Brassica napus (rape) is the source of this 3580-nucleotide long non-coding RNA. RefSeq lists it as uncharacterized. Lineage: Eukaryota; Viridiplantae; Streptophyta; Magnoliopsida; Brassicales; Brassicaceae. The transcript is spliced from 2 exons. The record is from RefSeq and is a predicted model, not a curated record.